UACGUAUGGUGCAAGCGUUAUCCGGAUUUACUGGGUGUAAAGGGAGCGCAGACGGAGUGGCAAGUCUGAUGUGAAAACCCGGGGCUCAACCCCGGGACUGCAUUGGAAACUGUCAAUCUGGAGUACCGGAGAGGUAAGCGGAAUUCCUAGUGUAGCGGUGAAAUGCGUAGAUAUUAGGAGGAACACCAGUGGCGAAGGCGGCUUACUGGACGGUAACUGACGUUGAGGCUCGAAAGCGUGGGGAGCAAACAGG
This 253-nucleotide ribosomal RNA is filed under the name Mediterraneibacter faecis JCM 15917. RNAcentral's name for it is "[Ruminococcus] faecis JCM 15917 partial 16S ribosomal RNA". It matches the Rfam family "Bacterial small subunit ribosomal RNA", at positions 524 to 776 of the family's 1533-position model. The record is from RNAcentral. Lineage: Bacteria; Bacillati; Bacillota; Clostridia; Lachnospirales; Lachnospiraceae.